Molecule: ribosomal RNA, 472 nt
Filed under: Salmonella enterica
Lineage: Bacteria; Pseudomonadati; Pseudomonadota; Gammaproteobacteria; Enterobacterales; Enterobacteriaceae
Description: partial 23S ribosomal RNA
Rfam family: Bacterial large subunit ribosomal RNA
Source: RNAcentral
UGUUUCGGCUAGGGGGCCAUCCCGGCUUACCAACCCGAUGCAAACUGCGAAUACCGGAGAAUGUUAUCACGGGAGACACACGGCGGGUGCUAACGUCCGUCGUGAAGAGGGAAACAACCCAGACCGCCAGCUAAGGUCCCAAAGUCAUGGUUAAGUGGGAAACGAUGUGGGAAGGCCCAGACAGCCAGGAUGUUGGCUUAGAAGCAGCCAUCAUUUAAAGAAAGCGUAAUAGCUCACUGGUCGAGUCGGCCUGCGCGGAAGAUGUAACGGGGCUAAACCAUGCACCGAAGCUGCGGCAGCGACGCUGAUGCGUUGUUGGGUAGGGGAGCGUUCUGUAAGCCUGUGAAGGUGGCCUGUGAGGGUUGCUGGAGGUAUCAGAAGUGCGAAUGCUGACAUAAGUAACGAUAAAGCGGGUGAAAAGCCCGCUCGCCGGAAGACCAAGGGUUCCUGUCCAACGUUAAUCGGGGCAGGG